Molecule: ribosomal RNA, 811 nt
Filed under: uncultured bacterium
Lineage: Bacteria
Description: bacterial SSU rRNA
Rfam family: Bacterial small subunit ribosomal RNA
Source: RNAcentral
UACUGGGCGUAAAGCGCGCGUAGGCGGUUGUAUAAGUUGGAUGUGAAAUCCCCGGGCUUAACCUGGGCACUGCAUUCAAAACUGUACGGCUAGAGUGUAGGAGAGGAAGGUAGAAUUCCAGGUGUAGCGGUGAAAUGCGUAGAGAUCUGGAGGAAUACCGAUGGCGAAGGCAGCCUUCUGGCCUAACACUGACGCUGAGGUGCGAAAGCAUGGGGAGCAAACAGGAUUAGAUACCCUGGUAGUCCAUGCCGUAAACGAUGUCUACUAGCCGUUGGGGGACUUGAUCCUUUAGUGGUGCAGCUAACGCAUUAAGUAGACCGCCUGGGGAGUACGGUCGCAAGACUAAAACUCAAAUGAAUUGACGGGGGCCCGCACAAGCGGUGGAGCAUGUGGUUUAAUUCGAUGCAACGCGAAGAACCUUACCUGGCCUUGACAUGUCUGGAAUCCUGUAGAGAUACGGGAGUGCCUUCGGGAAUCAGAACACAGGUGCUGCAUGGCUGUCGUCAGCUCGUGUCGUGAGAUGUUGGGUUAAGUCCCGCAACGAGCGCAACCCUUGUCCUUAGUUGCCAGCACGUAAUGGUGGGAACUCUAGGGAGACUGCCGGUGACAAACCGGAGGAAGGCGGGGACGACGUCAAGUCAUCAUGGCCCUUACGGCCAGGGCUACACACGUGCUACAAUGGUCGGUACAGAGGGUUGCUAGCCCGCGAGGGUACGCUAAUCUCACAAAGCCGAUCGUAGUCCGGAUUGGAGUCUGCAAAUUGACUCCAGUGAAGUCGGAAUCGCUAGUAAUCGCGGAUCAGAAUGCCGCG